GAUGAACGCUGGCGGCGUGCCUAAUACAUGCAAGUCGAGCGAACAGACGAGGAGCUUGCUCCUCUGACGUUAGCGGCGGACGGGUGAGUAACACGUGGAUAACCUACCUAUAAGACUGGGAUAACUUCGGGAAACCGGAGCUAAUACCGGAUAAUAUAUUGAACCGCAUGGUUCAAUAGUGAAAGACGGUUUUGCUGUCACUUAUAGAUGGAUCCGCGCCGCAUUAGCUAGUUGGUAAGGUAACGGCUUACCAAGGCAACGAUGCGUAGCCGACCUGAGAGGGUGAUCGGCCACACUGGAACGGGGACACGGUCCAGACUCCUACGGGAGGCAGCAGUAGGGAAUCGUCCGCAAUGGGCGAAAGCUUGACGGAGCAACGCCGCGUGAGUGAUGAAGGUCUUCGGAUCGUAAAACUCUGUUAUUAGGGAAGAACAAAUGUGUAAGUAACUAUGCACGUCUUGACGGUACCUAAUCAGAAAGCCACGGCUAACUACGUG
This 497-nucleotide ribosomal RNA is filed under the name uncultured bacterium. RNAcentral's name for it is "partial 16S ribosomal RNA". It matches the Rfam family "Bacterial small subunit ribosomal RNA", at positions 28 to 507 of the family's 1533-position model. The record is from RNAcentral.